UGCUGGGUAUCUUCAGUGACAUCUCCACCAACCCCAUUGCGAAGUUGCUGCUGCUGCUGCGGGGGUGGGGACUGACGGAGGAAGCAUUGGCACAAGCAUUCAAGUACAAUCACUCCAGAGACGGCGGAGAGUGAGACAGUGGAUGCAGACGUGUGAACGGAUCGCGGACAGGAGUUUGGUUAGGAAUACUGCCUCAUCGAUCUCUGGUGGCAAUGUGAGCGGAAACAAGGAGGCGGUAAGAGUUGACAUCGGCGGUUUGAAGAGUUGUAUAAUUAAGCACCGAGGAAAGUGACAGGUUGGGUACUGGAAGGGCAAUCUCACAGGAACCUUGGGUAGACAAAUGAGAUAGAAGGUGUGGCAUUAUUCUUGUAAGGGGAAUUUAGUAUAUAUAACUAGCUGGUGAGAAAAAAAGAAGGGAGAUAUAGUAGAGAGAUCUCUGUGGUUUCCAAAACACUGGGCGUUGAUUUGGAGCGUCGCAAGGGUAAAGAAACCAAACCGGGAAAAAAGGGAAGAAAGAAAGAAAGAAAAAGAAAACAACAAGUAGCUAAUGAUUACAGACCAACACUGCACAAUAAAUCAAAUGAAUAAGUAAAUAAAAGAAAACCUAUGCGAAAGCAACCAAAUCAGAAAUAGAUAGGCAAACGUAUCCGGGG
RNAcentral lists this small RNA (653 nucleotides) under Histoplasma capsulatum. Its description in RNAcentral is "hypothetical RNA". The record is from RNAcentral. RNAcentral also lists the same sequence under 1 other name. Lineage: Eukaryota; Fungi; Ascomycota; Eurotiomycetes; Onygenales; Ajellomycetaceae.